CCGGUGCAAACUAGGAACAUUCAAAAGAGGUGCACAUAUUUAGAGUGAUGCAGCAAACACAGUAGCAUCAUUUUGAUAACUGCUCUAAAGCAAUAAUAGCUCUGUUUUGUAGACUGUUCACUGCAAUACGUGUGUUACCAACAGUGUCAGCCAGCCUGCGGACAUGAUUCUCAUUUCAUUUACAACAGUGCAAGACUGGAGAAACUCCACUAAGUUUGUCAACAAAAAGCAUGGUGUAACUGAGAUCAGAGUGAGGUACCAGAUGGGUUAUAUCCUGAAAACUAAUUUAAGAUCUGAGCCUGAUCCCAUCACCUUUAUGGAUAGAACAGCUGGUGAUGUCAAGCAGCCGUUUUACCUGAAGAUUGUACUGAGGGGAUCUCACAAAGUUUACUGAUCUUUGAAGGGGGGUUAGAUUUGUGAAAUCUUCAAACCCUAGUGAUAACGAAGGGGACAAGCAAGGGACAAUUGCAGAGGCGCUGACUUCAGAUGCAGAUACCUGGCCUGGGUGUUGGAGCAUCAUUUUGCUGAAAGGUCAAAAAUAAAUAUAUAAAUUAUA
This is a long non-coding RNA of Alligator mississippiensis (American alligator), 556 nucleotides long. RefSeq lists it as uncharacterized. The record is from RefSeq and is a predicted model, not a curated record. The transcript has 3 exons. NCBI's taxonomy places the organism in Eukaryota, Metazoa, Chordata, Crocodylia, Alligatoridae.